Molecule: ribosomal RNA, 502 nt
Filed under: Limosilactobacillus fermentum
Lineage: Bacteria; Bacillati; Bacillota; Bacilli; Lactobacillales; Lactobacillaceae
Description: bacterial SSU rRNA
Rfam family: Bacterial small subunit ribosomal RNA
Source: RNAcentral
GAUGAACGCCGGCGGUGUGCCUAAUACAUGCAAGUCGAACGCGUUGGCCCAAUUGAUUGACGGUGCUUGCAUCUGAUUGAUUUUGGUCGCCAACGAGUGGCGGACGGGUGAGUAACACGUAGGUAACCUGCCCAGAAGCGGGGGACAACAUUUGGAAACAGAUGCUAAUACCGCAUAACAGCGUUGUUCGCAUGAACAACGCUUAAAAGAUGGCUUCUCGCUAUCACUUCUGGAUGGACCUGCGGUGCAUUAGCUUGUUGGUGGGGUAACGGCCUACCAAGGCGAUGAUGCAUAGCCGAGUUGAGAGACUGAUCGGCCACAAUGGGACUGAGACACGGCCCAUACUCCUACGGGAGGCAGCGUAGGGAAUCUUCCACAAUGGGCGCAAGCCUGAUGGAGCAACACCGCGUGAGUGAAGAAGGGUUUCGGCUCGUAAAGCUCUGUUGUUAAAGAAGAACACGUAUGAGAGUAACUGUUCAUACGUGGACGUAUUAACCAGAAA